AGCAGCCGCGGUAAUUCCAGCUCCAAUAGCGUAUAUUAAAGUUGUUGCAGUUAAAAAGCUCGUAGUUGAAUUUCGGGAUCAAUUAAUUGGUCGUACCUAUGGUACGUACUGAUUUUAUUGGUUUCUCCCUUCUGACGAACCAUGAUGUCAUUAAUUUGGUGUCGUGGAGAAUCAGGACUGUUACUUUGAAAAAAUUAGAGUGUUUAAAGCAAGCUAACGCUUGAAUACAUUAGCAUGGAAUAAUGAAAUAGGACGUUUGAUCCUAUUUUGUUGGUUUCUAGGAUCGACGUAAUGAUUAAUAGGGAUAGUUGGGGGCAUUAGUAUUCAAUUGUCAGAGGUGAAAUUCUUGGAUUUAUUGAAGACUAACUACUGCGAAAGCAUUUGCCAAGGAUGUUUUCAUUAAUCAAGAACGAAAGUUAGGGGAUCGAAGACGAUCAGAUACCGUCGUAGUCUUAACCAUAAACUAUGCCGACUAGGGAUCGGAUGAUGUUAAUUUUUUAAUGACUCA
Molecule: ribosomal RNA, 508 nt
Filed under: uncultured Glomus
Lineage: Eukaryota; Fungi; Glomeromycota; Glomeromycetes; Glomerales; Glomeraceae
Description: SSU rRNA
Rfam family: Eukaryotic small subunit ribosomal RNA
Source: RNAcentral